CUUUCUCCACGAGGCACUGUCGCGUCCCAAAGUUUGAGCUACUCAGGUUCGUGGAUUUCCUUUGUCAGAAUUAAGGUGAAACGACACCAGGGGAGUUCAAAGAACAAUCAACAUUUA
Aquila chrysaetos chrysaetos is the source of this 117-nucleotide long non-coding RNA. RefSeq lists it as uncharacterized. The record is from RefSeq and is a predicted model, not a curated record. The transcript is spliced from 3 exons. NCBI's taxonomy places the organism in Eukaryota, Metazoa, Chordata, Aves, Accipitriformes, Accipitridae.